This 162-nucleotide non-coding RNA is filed under the name Thiomicrospira cyclica ALM1. Lineage: Bacteria; Pseudomonadati; Pseudomonadota; Gammaproteobacteria; Thiotrichales; Piscirickettsiaceae. The record is from RNAcentral.
AUUGUGGAAUGGGGUGCGAGACCCUCGAGCCGAUAAGUACUACUUUGGGGCCAGAAACUAUUUGUGGUGAGCACCUCGCUUAUGUCCGAGGAGCCUAAACUUAUAGAGAAGGCCGCCACCUUGAACCUCCGGGUUCAGGGACCGCAGCCCCAUUUCACUUCU